GCUCAGGUGGUGGAACGGCAGACACGCCACGUUCAGGUCGUGGUGCCCGCAAGGGCGUGAGGGUUCAAAUCCCUCCCUGAGUACCA
This 86-nucleotide transfer RNA is filed under the name Opitutia bacterium. Its description in RNAcentral is "tRNA-Leu". It matches the Rfam family "tRNA". Rfam says of the family: Transfer RNA (tRNA) molecules are approximately 80 nucleotides in length. Their secondary structure includes four short double-helical elements and three loops (D, anti-codon, and T loops). Further hydrogen bonds mediate the characteristic L-shaped molecular structure. tRNAs have two regions of fundamental functional importance: the anti-codon, which is responsible for specific mRNA codon recognition, and the 3' end, to which the tRNAs corresponding amino acid is attached (by aminoacyl-tRNA synthetases). tRNAs cope with the degeneracy of the genetic code in two manners: having more than one tRNA (with a specific anti-codon) for a particular amino acid; and 'wobble' base-pairing, i.e. permitting non-standard base-pairing at the 3rd anti-codon position. Lineage: Bacteria; Pseudomonadati; Verrucomicrobiota; Opitutia. The record is from RNAcentral. RNAcentral also lists the same sequence under 8 other names.